UACGGAGGGAGCUAGCGUUGUUCGGAAUUACUGGGCGUAAAGCGCACGUAGGCGGCGAUCUAAGUCAGAGGUGAAAGCCCGGGGCUCAACCCCGGAAUAGCCUUUGAGACUGGAUUGCUUGAAUCCAGGAGAGGUGAGUGGAAUUCCGAGUGUAGAGGUGAAAUUCGUAGAUAUUCGCAAGAACACCAGUGGCGAAGGCGGCUCACUGGCCCGAUACUGACGCUGAGGUGCGAAAGCGUGGGGAGCAAACAGG
RNAcentral lists this ribosomal RNA (253 nucleotides) under uncultured bacterium. RNAcentral describes it as "partial 16S ribosomal RNA". It matches the Rfam family "Bacterial small subunit ribosomal RNA", at positions 524 to 776 of the family's 1533-position model. The record is from RNAcentral.